Molecule: ribosomal RNA, 253 nt
Filed under: uncultured bacterium
Lineage: Bacteria
Description: partial 16S ribosomal RNA
Rfam family: Bacterial small subunit ribosomal RNA
Source: RNAcentral
UACGUAGGGUGCAAGCGUUGUCCGGAAUUAUUGGGCGUAAAGAGCUCGUAGGCGGUUCGUCACGUCGGCUGUGAAAUCCCGAGGCUCAACCUCGGGUCUGCAGUCGAUACGGGCGGACUUGAGUACUGCAGGGGAGACUGGAAUUCCUGGUGUAGAGGUGAAAUGCGCAGAUAUCAGGAGGAACACCGGUGGCGAAGGCGGGUAUCUGGGCAGUAACUGACGCUGAGGAGCGAAAGCGUGGGGAGCGAACAGG